GUUUAAACUCAGGGAGCAUCAUCUAAAGUUUGUUUAAUAAACACAUGUGGAAAUGCAUAAAGUUCUUAUUACAUGUGUAGAUUUUAUUCUUUUCAACUCUUGUUACAGCCAUGAAAUCACAAGUUCAAGAAGUCUGUGGAAGAUUCUUGUGAAAAUAUCAGUAUUGGAUAAAAUAUCAAGACUGCAGAGCCCAGAGACUGAAACUCUGAGCUGGUUCAGCUAUCUCAUUUCCGUCUUUCCUGCAUACCUACCAUGA
RNAcentral lists this long non-coding RNA (256 nucleotides) under Oryctolagus cuniculus (rabbit). RNAcentral's name for it is "lncRNA (ENSOCUG00000032106.1)". The record is from RNAcentral. Lineage: Eukaryota; Metazoa; Chordata; Mammalia; Lagomorpha; Leporidae.